AAAGACGGUUGACCAUAGAGCAUGCGCUGUCUCUAGGUCGUAUGUAAUAUGGUCCACGUCUUCU
Molecule: non-coding RNA, 64 nt
Organism: Equus caballus (horse)
Lineage: Eukaryota; Metazoa; Chordata; Mammalia; Perissodactyla; Equidae
Source: Rfam